CCGCGGUAAUACGGAGGGUGCAAGCGUUAAUCGGAAUUACUGGGCGUAAAGCGCACGCAGGCGGUUUGUUAAGUCAGAUGUGAAAUCCCCGCGCUUAACGUGGGAACUGCAUUUGAAACUGGCAAGCUAGAGUCUUGUAGAGGGGGGUAGAAUUCCAGGUGUAGCGGUGAAAUGCGUAGAGAUCUGGAGGAAUACCGGUGGCGAAGGCGGCCCCCUGGACAAAGACUGACGCUCAGGUGCGAAAGCGUGGGGAGCAAACAGGAUUAGAUACCCUGGUAGUCCACGCUGUAAACGAUGUCGACUUGGAGGUUGUGCCCUUGAGGCGUGGCUUCCGGAGCUAACGCGUUAAGUCGACCGCCUGGGGAGUACGGCCGCAAGGUUAAAACUCAAAUGAAUUGACGGGGGCCCGCACAAGCGGUGGAGCAUGUGGUUUAAUUCGAUGCAACGCGAAGAACCUUACCUACUCUUGACAUCCAGAGAAUUCGCUAGAGAUAGCUUAGUGCCUUCGGGAACUCUGAGACAGGUGCUGCAUGGCUGUCGUCAGCUCGUGUUGUGAAAUGUUGGGUUAAGUCCCGCAACGAGCGCAACCCUUAUCCUUUGUUGCCAGCACGUAAUGGUGGGAACUCAAAGGAGACUGCCGGUGAUAAACCGGAGGAAGGUGGGGAUGACGUCAAGUCAUCAUGGUCCUUACGAGUAGGGCUACACACGUGCUACAAUGGCGUAUACAAAGAGAAGCGAACUCGCGAGAGCAAGCGGACCUCAUAAAGUACGUCGUAGUCCGGAUCGGAGUCUGCAACUCGACUCCGUGAAGUCGGAAUCGCUAGUAAUCGUAGAUCAGAAUGCUACGGUGAAUACGUUCCCGGGCCUUGUACACACCGCCCGUCACACCAUGGGAGUGGGUUGCAAAAGAAGUAGGUAGCUUAACCUUCGGGAGGGCGCUUACCACUUUGUGAU
Molecule: ribosomal RNA, 954 nt
Filed under: uncultured bacterium
Lineage: Bacteria
Description: bacterial SSU rRNA
Rfam family: Bacterial small subunit ribosomal RNA
Source: RNAcentral